Molecule: ribosomal RNA, 404 nt
Filed under: uncultured bacterium
Lineage: Bacteria
Description: partial 16S ribosomal RNA
Rfam family: Bacterial small subunit ribosomal RNA
Source: RNAcentral
GACGAACGCUGGCGGCGUGCCUAAUACAUGCAAGUCGAACGCAGUGGGGACGGGUGAGUAACACGUGGGUAACCUCCCAUCAGAGGGGGAUAACACUUGGAAACAGGUGCUAAACCGAUACUGAUGGAUGAACCCGCGGUGCAUUAGCUAGUUGGUGGGGUAACGGCUCACCAAGGCCACGAUGCAUAGCCGCCCGGAGAGGGUGUACGGCCACACUGGGACUGAGACACGGCCCAGACCCCUACGGGAGGCAGCAGUAGGGAAUCCUCGUCAAUGGACGAAAGUCUGAACGAGCAACGCCGCGUGAGUUAAGAAGGUUUUCGGAUCGUAAAACUCUGUUGUUAGAGAAGCGGUAUCUAACCAGAAAGCCACGGCUAGCUACAUGCCAGCAGCCGCGGUAAUAC